AAGGGCUAAAAAAAAAAACGAGAACGAGGUUACAUUACAUAUUCUUUUGGUCCAUGAGAAUCAUGUACCGUAUUCUAGGACACCGCUGGUUUGAGUAAAAUUAAAGUUUAGUCAGCUCACAGGUUGACAAAGCCGGUCGGCAUAUGUGAAGCGUGGCCUGAUUGCCACGAGCACAUGUUCGCAACAAGUUUCAGCACAUUUUAAUGUAAAACAAUUCCCAUCGAUGGAAGUGCCGGAUUCAGUGGAAAUUACGACAAAUCGGGACUAUAAUCAACGUGCGUACCUCAGCAGGAUGAACGGGCGUAAUGGUAGAGAAAGCGGAUGUCACCCUGGCGCAGGCAAGGAUGCCAGGAAAUACGAGAUGUCUCUAAUGCCAACCAAUCAACUCGCGACCAUCAUCGCACGUGCGUUCCGAAAUCCACACUUCGUGUUGUUGGUAAUUUUAUUCUCUUUCACGCUCUCGAGUUUAUGACUGGCUGUGCCUCUAUCUUAGGAAGUUUUUAGCGCUGCCAACAAAUUUCGGAACGCACCGUAAAUAAUCCAAUCUAGGGAUCCUAGGCCAAACUUUCGCCUACUCAUCUCUGUUAUUAGUAGGUAACCGCACUUUUCAAACACUCAACUAAGGAGAUUUUAUUUAUUGAAAUAUUGGUAUAAUAAUCAUUACGUAUAAUAUACUUCCUGAAUCAAGUAAAUCUGUCAGCAUUGUUGUUUCUUAACUAAAAUUUCUCAUGCCCAGGGACGAAAAUAAUUUCGAGAUAUGUACUUACAUUCACACAUUGACUGUGGAAUUCUUCAGUUAUAUCGAGGUAUCUCUAAGUAACGAUAGUGUUGCACGUGAUUCUUUAUUCUACAAUAUUGAGCUACACUAAAAAAUAUGCCUGUACACGUUCACCAAUUGUAAAAUUAUAUAGCAUUAACAGAUAGAGUUAAAUUAAAUUUGUUAUGAACGUACAAGUGACUUACCAGAGUAACUUGACCUUAUGAAGUUAUAGGUAAUUUUACCAUUCGCACACAAAAAAAAAUAUGAAAUUGAAACUUUAAUAUUAUUAUUAUUAUUAUUGAAUACUGCGCUUAAGUGUGAAGUAACCAGACGCUACAGAACAAACUGCCCUCACAUUUAUAGAUACAAUUAAAAUGUUUAAACAAGAAAAAAAAACCGAAUACAUUUACAUGAAUAAGUUCUUUAAUAGAUGAAAAAUGUACAUGUGCAGGCAGUUUAUUUUGUACAAUUACACUCCGACAUUGAUUUGGGGGGUCUGCGCAAUCAUUUAUGUAUAAAAAUAUAAAGUAGUAGUGAAAAUUUUCAUCUCCGUAAUUAGAAAUAUUGAAGCUUUUUGUUUCUGAAGAUUAGUAUUUGUAUUCAUCGUACUCCUUUUAAGACGUAAUUAACCACUACGUAUGUACAGUUGCUUAAAUUUAAACAAGUCAAUUGAGAUACCUUACAAGGAUAACGUACAGAUACUGAUCUAUUGUAAUAGUCCUUCAUUUUCUUCCAACUCUUAAUUUAUAAUUAUUAUAGAACCCCCUUUUUCGAAUCCUUGGAACAGAAAUGUUGGCCUGCUUGAACUUGUUAAAAUUUAAAUAAUAAUCUGAGGUAGCACGCUUAUUGUACUUUUGAAAUAAAUGACCUUACUAAGUGCCAGUAUUCUGUGUCCUCAGAAAGCACAAUCAUAUUAAGUUCCAGCUUUGAAAAUGCAUGAUGUGUACGUAUAUAUCUUAUUAAGGUGGGAUCACAUAUAAUUAAUUUCAUCCGCACUUAAAAGUUCAAUAGUUAUUCGUUUUGUGCUUAGAAAUAUCAUUCAAUGAUCACAAAAGUUUCUUCCACUUUCUUGGUUUUUCUUUUUAUCAACUUCUACCUACUACUUUUCUCACUUUUCGACACAUAAAAAAAAGCUUAUAGAAAAAUACUAUAGACCUAUCCAUAAAAAAUAAUACAUAAUUAAAAUUAACAACAGGUUGUCUGGAUACCUAGCUAGCAGUAAUUAUAAAAAGUGUCUUCAAAAAAGUU
Neodiprion virginianus is the source of this 2008-nucleotide long non-coding RNA. RefSeq lists it as uncharacterized. The transcript is spliced from 2 exons. The record is from RefSeq and is a predicted model, not a curated record. NCBI's taxonomy places the organism in Eukaryota, Metazoa, Arthropoda, Insecta, Hymenoptera, Diprionidae.